AGAGGAUGGAGCUCUCACUGGCUCCUAGGGACUGAGUUUUGCUUUGGGGGGUGGGGAUGGGAUCCCCUUGGGAAGGCCGCGCCUCUGCUUUCUCAGCUGUCUUGUGUCCAGGCCUUGUAGAACUGUGUCUCUCUAACGCAUUUCCUCCUUUCCCUCCUCCAGCCUCCACCUCAGUUCAGAGUGAUCCCUUAUUUGCCUGAAAUUUGGGAACAGUCUCACUACCUGGCAUCAGGCCACUAUGCAUACAACCUUGGAGGGGGAGCGACUAACAUCUACUGCACACCUGCCGAGGCCUUUUGUGUAUUUUAUCACACUCACCCUGGCAGCAAUGCAUGAGUUCACAGGCAAGGAACAGAAUGUUUCGCCCAAGGAUGAUUCCGCCCCUGUGGAGCCAACCCACGGCCAUGGCCUUCUGAGCAGGGGCAUUAACUGAGCCAAAUGUGCAGGAAAAGAACUAAUGAGGUGCAGGGCCUGGAGGGCCCAGCCCCCGUGUUUAGGAUUAAGAGCAUCCGUGAGAGCCGCCUGCACCUCCCGGUCCCUGGAUCCGCUUGGAGCGCAG
RNAcentral lists this long non-coding RNA (559 nucleotides) under Equus caballus (horse). Its description in RNAcentral is "lncRNA (ENSECAG00000051863.1)". The record is from RNAcentral. Lineage: Eukaryota; Metazoa; Chordata; Mammalia; Perissodactyla; Equidae.